AUGUCAUUAAUACAAUAUAUUAUCCAGGUAGGGGUCCAACUCGUUCCACGGAGGGUCUGGCGUCUGCAGGGUUUGGGUUCUUCCUUUCAGGUGAGGGUGGGUUCUUCCUUUCAGGUGAGACCUAGACAACCAGGUGAGGGUGGGUUCUUCCUUUCAGGUGAGGGUGGGUUCAUCAAUCAAGUACAAAGGGGAGGAGGGGAGAGACCCCUUAGACACUCGGCCCUCCGUGGAAUGGGGUUGGGACACGUGAUCCAGACCAUCAUCAAAAGCAUUAGAGUACAAAAACUGUUUUUAUAUUCCAUAAAGCUGUGUUUUAACAGAAUUUAUAACAAGGUAAUGAUCUUGGACUUAAAAUACACAGAACUAAACGAUUUGAUGUUGAAACAUCUCAUCGUAGCGUGUUACGUCCUCUACAAAACAAAAAAACAUUGAAAAGCAACAAAUCCCACAACCAUAUUUUGGUGGACAGGAUAUGAACCAUUUCUUUAUUCCUGAGCGUUCGUCUGACUCGUCUGACAUGUUCGCCACCGACACCGUGACCCGGUCAGGGAGGCUCUCAGCAUUAAGAGCUUUAAACAGCUCAGUUACUCAGGAAUAAAGAGCUCGGAGACACUCGGUUAAGGACAAUAUGACAACGAGUGAAACGACCUAAUGGCAACCUAUUCCCAACACAGGGGCCUAUGGGGCCUGGGCUAUAGUAGUGCACUAUGUAGGGAUUAGGGUGGGUCCUAGUCUAUAGUAGUGCACUAUAUAGGGAUUAGGGUGGGUCCUGGUCUAUAGUAGUGCACUAUAUAUAGGGAAUAGGGUGGCAUUGGUUCCUGGGCUAUAGUAGUGCACUAUAUAUAGGGAUUAGGGUGGGUCCUGGUCUAUAGUAGUGCACUAUAUAGGGAUUAGGGUGGCAUUGGUUCUUUGUCUAUAGUAGUGCACUAUGUAGGGAUUAGGGUGGGUCCUGGUCUAUAGUAGUGCACUAUAUAUAGGGAAUAGGGUGGCAUUUGGAACGUACUGUAGCCCCUCCAGUCUCCUCAACAUUAGUGUUCAUUGCCACAGGUGUUUUGUUGAAAUGUUUAAGAGUAAAUCAAAGUUUAAACCCUCUUCCCUUGUUCUGUGAGAGGGGGAACUGGUUCUUAUUGCACAGAGGACAUUAAACCUUAAAGGCAGUUUGUGGAUGAACAACCUAAAGAGAGAGUACAACAGGUGUGUGUGUGUGUGUGUCUGUACGAGUGUGUGUCAGGGUCUCUGUAAAGGUGUGUGUACAGGUGUGUCUCUGUAAAGGUGUGUGUGUCAGGGUCUCUGUAAAGGUGUGUGUGGGUCAGGGUCUCUGUAAAGGUGUGUGUAUAGGUGUGUCUCUGUAAAGGUGUGUGUGUGUACAGGUGUGUCUCUGUAAAGGUGUGUGUGUCAGGGUCUCUGUAAAGGUGUGUGUGUGUGUGUGUACAGGUGUGUCUCUGUAAAGGUGUGUGUGUGGGUCAGGGUCUCUGUAAAGGUGUGUGUGUGUACAGGUGUGUCUCUGUAAAGGUGUGUGUCAGUGGAAGCCGAUGCGCAGCGCCUUGUUCUUGACCAUGGUGAACUUGGAGACGAACACGGCGGCGUGGGCGGGGCUGACCAGGUAACGGUAGGUCUUGGUGACGGCGGGCGGAGGCUCGGCCGGGGUGAUGGGAGGAGCCUGCUGGAGGGACGAGGCCGACGGGGAGAGGAACGCAGACGCACGAGUCACAUAGUCCACCAGGCGACCAUACUGCUGCUCUGACAACCACUCCCUCCCACUGUCACCCUGAGGGGAGGGGAUAGGGGGGAGGGGGGGUAUAGAGAGGGGGGGGGGGGAUAGGGGGGGGAGGGGGGUAUAGAGGGGGAGGGGGGGGGGGGGAGGAGGAGGAGAGGGA
Molecule: long non-coding RNA, 1877 nt
Organism: Oncorhynchus kisutch (coho salmon)
Lineage: Eukaryota; Metazoa; Chordata; Actinopteri; Salmoniformes; Salmonidae
Source: Ensembl